UCCCAUGGUCUAAGACAGUGGUCCUCAAACUUUUUACACCACGUACCACCUCAGAAAAUAUUUGACUCUCCAAGUACCACCAUUAUGACCGGGUGGGGUGGGGGGCAAUUAUUUUUCCUGGGGGGCCACAUGAGAAACCCAGAUUGUUGCCAGGGGCCAAACAAAUUCUGUCAGACGUAACCUCUAUUUUAUCACUACAUUAAUUUAUAGAAAACAUACUGAGCACUUAUUUUUCAGCAUUUAUUCUACUGAAAAUCACUCCAAACAGCAGAUUAUUAA
Molecule: long non-coding RNA, 279 nt
Organism: Sebastes umbrosus (honeycomb rockfish)
Lineage: Eukaryota; Metazoa; Chordata; Actinopteri; Perciformes; Sebastidae
Exons: 3
Source: RefSeq, a predicted model, not a curated record